RNAcentral lists this transfer RNA (59 nucleotides) under Proteus mirabilis. RNAcentral's name for it is "tRNA-Arg". It matches the Rfam family "tRNA", at positions 10 to 63 of the family's 71-position model. Rfam says of the family: Transfer RNA (tRNA) molecules are approximately 80 nucleotides in length. Lineage: Bacteria; Pseudomonadati; Pseudomonadota; Gammaproteobacteria; Enterobacterales; Morganellaceae. The record is from RNAcentral.
CGCUCAGCUGGAUAGAGUACUCGGCUACGAACCGAGCGGUCGGAGGUUCGAAUCCUCCA